UUCAGGCCAUGACUGUCCAAUAGGUUUGAGGCACCUAUGGGUCUAAAGAAAGAGUGGGAAAGAUUAAUAUUUGAACAAAAGUAUGGGGAAGCAUUCACUUCAGCCCAUGAAUUGUUGGAUGUUUAUUUGGUUUUUAGAUAAUGCAGAUUUUGCUUAGUUUUUCAGAGUUUAUAAUUGAGAAGAUGAGCAUGUGCUCUUGAAGAAGCUAUUCGUUGGGGUACUGAUUAUCUUCUCAAAGCUACUGCUCAUCCAAACACCUUAUAUGUGCAGUUGAGAGUUUUGUCUAUGGCGGCACAAAAACAAAGAGCAAAUCUGGGACUGGACUUGAGUCAGCAAUGGAAUCUGAACAUCUGACAGGUUGGGGGAGUUGAGACUGUUACUCUUUGAGAUGAUGAAGCCCGUGUUAGAGGUUCUCAGAAAAGC
This is a long non-coding RNA of Magnolia sinica, 423 nucleotides long. RefSeq lists it as uncharacterized. The transcript is spliced from 4 exons. The record is from RefSeq and is a predicted model, not a curated record. Lineage: Eukaryota; Viridiplantae; Streptophyta; Magnoliopsida; Magnoliales; Magnoliaceae.